CUUAUUGUCCCUCUGUCUCGAGCUUCUCUUAUCCUUACUCUCUCACGACUGCAGAUCGUUCUCACUCUCUCUGUCCCGACUUCUCUUAUCCUCACUGUCUCAUGACUGCAGAUUAUCCUCGCCCUCUCUCUGCCUCAACUUCUCUUAUCCUUACUCUCUCCAGUCUUCCUCACUCUCUCCAGAUCGUCGUUCCCCAUCACGCUUCCUCAUUCUCUGCGGCCUCACUCUCCGCGCCCGUUGGCUGUUUAUGGUUAGUGAUUAAUGUUUGUUUUUAAUUUUUUUGAAAAUUAAUUUUGUAAGUCAUUGUACUGCCGUUUAGAGUAUUAAUUGCAAUACAAACCAAAAAUCCGCCUGUUUAUGGAUUAAUUUUGUAAAUUUUGGUGGUAAUUAUUUGACGAUAAAGAUGAAUCUUUUGUUUGGAAUAUUAAUUGUGUGAGAAUUGCUGGAUUUUUAAUUUGGAGUCUUAAUUGUGUGAAAAUUAUUAUGGAAAUUGUUGGAUUUUUCAUUUGAAGUCUUAAUUGUGUGAAAAUUGUUGUGGAAAUUGCUGGAUUUUUCGUUAGAUAUAUUAAUUGUGUGAAAAUUGCUACAAAAAUUACUAGAUUUUGAUUCAAUGUGAUGUAGAAAUAUGAGUCGGGUGAAAAUUUUAUUGAUCUGUUAAGAAAAUGUCUAAUUUAAGCUGGGGUCAUUGCUGUGAAUAUGUAGGUCUGAAUUUGGUAUUCCAUAUGUAGAAAUUUUGGUCUUUAACGUUUUGUAUGGGGAGUAGUUCUAGGGAUAGAUGAACGCAAAUGAAGAUAUUUAGUGCAGUUGGCAAUGACCCCGGAAAAAGAUAUUCUCUUGAUCUCUUCUUAACUUUUUAAGAUCUCCUGCUAUGUGUAUUUUAGUGGUAGUGUAUAGGUAAAAUUUAACUUCUUUUAUUUUUUUUUUUAUUAACUACCAAUCAAUAAAUGAGUUAUUUACUCAGAACAUGAUCAGAUCAGGAGAGGGUGGGCUACCGCUAAUAGUUUAUGUAUUACACGUGUUGAAAAUAUAUUACAAGCAAACUUACUUCAGCCGCAUUUUUUUCUAUGCAUUUUAUAACCACGGGAAGAGUUUGAUGUAUUAUAAGCAAAAUUAAUUCUUGAUACCUAGCAACAUUAUUUUAUACUUUGUCUACUGUUUGCAAACUCUAGAUUUUGUUUGAACUUUUUUUUUGGCAAUUAAAGUAGUCUAAUAAUGACAAUGUUAUCUAGCACAAAUGAAAGUUGAAAUUCACUGCAAAUAUGUAAUGAAUGUGGUGACCAAAUGGAGUUAUUAAUAUCAUGUACUACAAAUAAUCCAAAUUGUAAAUUUUAGAAAUGUAAAGGAUGUAAAAACUUUUAAUGGGCAGAAGACCGAUCUAGUGAAGAGAAAAUUAACUUGUUAGUAAAGGAAGUUAGAAAGUUGAUAUUGGAGAUUGAGCGUUUGUCUGUUAAAUUUUAAUUGUCAUAUAAAGAACUUGAGCAUACUCAACAAUGUGAAAUGCUGAGACGAUUGUUUAAUGAUGAACUUCGAAGGAGACAUAGAUCAAGAUAUGAUUUCAUUAGAAUACUUGUGAUUGUUGUGCUAUUCUUUAUAUUCAAGUUUUUUUUUUAAGUUUUUUCAAUUUGUAAUAUCUAUUGAGAAAAAUGGUAGGCAUAAAUUCUUUAUUGGAUGCCGAAAUAGCACACAAUGAGUGCAAGCACAUUGAAAUUGUAAUGAUCUAUACCAUGGAAAAUUGUCAAAAAAUAUCAUAAAAAUUAUCAAUAAAAACCACCAGACCAACACAAAUUAUCAAAAAAAGCGACAAUAGUGCAAUUAAUCAUCACUACAAUUAGUCAUUUUAAGCCAAAUCUAAGCGAAAUGAUAGAAAAAAUAAUCUGAACAUAAUAUAAGUAAAAAAUCAAUCACAUCAACUGUUGUUUUCAUUACAUUGUUGAUGUAGCAAUUAUUGAAAAUUCUCACUUCCAGAUCCUUCGUACGUCAUCAAAUGAGAAGAAUAAUGUGAUUACAAAACAUACGGCGGGUCUGGUUGCUAUAAUACACAAAAAUUAAAACAAUAUAUUACAUUUUAUAAAUUUAAAAAUAUAAAUAUACACUAAGACAUUAUAAUUUGAAGAUAACAACUUACUAUGUGCUAAUUAUAAUGAAAUGACUAUUUGUAUCACCUUGGGUUGGGUAUAUGAAUACCUAGGCAAAUAAAAAAAAUAAAUGUAAAAUCCAUAUUAAAAAUUUAAACAUAAAAUUUUUUCACAAAUUUAAUUCUUAUAUUAUAGUAGCCUAAAGUCCUGUAUUGAUUGAGAUUUGCAUUAACAACACUUCCUUUAUGUAACAUCUAUAUAUGCUUAACAAUAUACAUAGUUACAUAUCUUCAAAAUAAAAUAAAAGUUUAAUAUAAAAAUUCACAAACUUACCAUGCCCACGUUGUUCUAUUGCGUGGAGAUUUCAUCAGGCACUUCAUAAAACGAUGGUGCAUCUUCUUGUAAAUCUUGUAAAAUUAUGGCAGACAAUUAAACAAAAAUCGAAUAAAAUUAGAAAACAUAUAUUUGUAUUUCAACAACCUUUAUUCUUUUAUGCAAUCUUCUUCUUUUGGGUUGGUUUCUUCUAAAUUACAGAUUAUUUCCUCAGACAAAGAGGACGGCCUUUACGGCGUGUGGCUAUUAGAUCAUUGAUUACAAGUUCAACAUUGUUGUUGCUGCAACUUACAUCACUUGUAACGAUUGUUGGUGAAACAAUUGUUUCCACACUUGCACACCGAAUUUGUUUCGGUAGAUCUUUUAGCGCCUUAUUAAUCCAAUCAAUACAAAUUUGUAAUUACUCUCAUCAUCAGUAGCUAUAUCCGCAACCUCACUGAAAGCAGUACACAUUUUGUCACAUCUCUCCUACUGAAUGAACAAAUGCUGCACACCACAAUUAACUUUCACCUUGUUGUAGGAUCUCCUCAUAUCUUUCCUCCACCUUGAUAAAUGUACAUUUCUGGAAGUAAUUCAACAUUAUUACAUAUUAACACUGCAAGGGCAUACCUACAAAGAAUCUCCCUAAACUGAAACUUUGAACAGAUACAACUAACUUCACACACAACUUCUUUAAAAACAUCUUCAAAGCUUCUUUUCUUACCUUACCCAUGUGAUUCACUGAUUUCAUAUACUGAUCCCAUAGAAUUAACUAUAUCACAAUACAUUAGUGUAGUUAAUUCUUGCUGGAAUUCUUUAAACUUAGGCAUGGUGUACACCUCUUCAACUUGCUUUUCUAUCUCAUAUCUUGUUACACAUAGAGUCUUUCUAAAACAUUUAGCAUUUGCUAGUCAUUUUAAUUCAGUUUUCCUUCUCAAUGCAUUUUCAUACCGCUUCAGAAGUUACUUCAAAUUUGUUUUUGAGUUAACAAAUCCAUAAAAAAAUGCAUUCAUAUUUUCACUUCACUAAGUUGUUGAUAUUUUUACUCAAAAACACUCUUUCAAAUAGCAUAACCCAACGAUAUCGCUCCUUAUAUAAACCAUUCAAUCAAUCAUUAUCCCAUAAAUCAUAUAUUGUAAUCAUGUCAUGUCAAGCUUCCUUAAACAUAGCAGAGCUCAGUAAAUCAUAAACAGCAGAAAGCAAUAGAGAAAUAAUAACUUCACGUUUUUUAAAAGCCCCUAACUUCUCAGGCACCUUCUUCAUUAUAUGUCACAAACACCAUCGAUGUCUAAUCGUAAGAAAAAAAAUUUCAAUUGCCUUUUGCAUUAAUUGUCUUGGUCUGUAAUGAUACCAAUGGGAGGAGAACUGUACAUGCAUGAUAGUCACGCCUCAAAUAAUCACAUAAAUGUCUCAGUAUCUUCGUGUGAAAUCAAUCAAUAUCCUAACAAAAUAGACUUACCAUGAUAAUUAACUCUAACAAAAGGAGUGAAUGACAUGUCAUACUUGUUGGUAAGAUAAGUGGUGUCAAAUAUGAUGAUAUCUCUAAAAUAUUUAUAAGCAGCCCUACUCCUUGGAUCUGCCCAAAAUACAUUCCUUAAUCGACCAUGUUAAUCCAAACCAAUGGUUAAAAAACCCAUUGCACUUUGCUUGCUUUUUCUAGAAGCACUUUAGAAUUGUUAUAACACCUCAUUCUCCAAGUUGUAAUCGCCUAACUUUGUCAAUAAGAUUUCGACAAUCUUUUUCUAGUAAUGAGACAUUUUAAUAUCUACCAACUUCUACAAUAAUAGAAUUAAAAAUUUAGGCAAUGUUAAUUCUUGCACAAUCAUUCAUUUCAAUUUGGUUUUUGCAAUUGAACUAAUGCUACGAAUAUAAAGAAAAUACUUAGCCUUGUUCAGACUCAAUCCAUGAUUGUAUUGAAGGUUUAAAGUUUGAAGAACUCAUUUGCCAUCUUCAUUCACACAACCUCCAAUUCUAGCAUCACAACCAUUUUUCAUAAUAGGUUUUGGCUUUAGCACAUUAGUAGAUUUACUUUCCAACUUAUUGAUAUGACCACAUGCAAAUGUUGCGUAUUUUAUAAUUCUAUCACUCCAUUUCUCACUAGUUAGCUUCUUCAUAGGAAAUCCUUCUUGUUUACCAUAGGUUUUGUAAAAUGUCCACAUUUCCUCAUGACUAUCAAAUAACAUUCUAAGAGUCGGUUCAUAUUCUUUUGAUUGCACAUCUUCGACUCUGGAAUCAUUUUUCAAAUUUUUCAUUUCUACAAAAUAAUUAAUAUUUGUAUUAAGAAUAAAUUAUUAUAAAUUUUUACAAAAUUUUGGUCUAGCAAAAAGUUAAUCCAUUAAAAUUUCUAUAUCAAACAUAUUUAUCAUUAUCAUUUAACUAGUAAAUUGCUUCUAAGAGCAUUAAGCAAAAUGUAGGUACAUUUCUAUUAUUACUGAUAUAACAAAAAUAAUAUUCAAAAUAAAAAAUCACUCUUUAUAAUUAAGUAAUUAUCAGCUUAGUGUUUUGCUUCCAGAUCUAUAUCGAGUAACGCCUCCGUGUUUGGGAGAAUUUGUGUAGAUUUUUAGUAGCCAAAUAGAGUGAGAUUGCCUGAAACAUGAUGUAAGUAGAGGUGGCCAUUAGGGAGAAACUGAGGAUGAGUAAAGAAGUGAGUGGCCUAAGUUUACCCUCCUUGUUGAGAGAGAGAAAGCAUGAUGCAUGUGAUCUGUCAUUUUUUUGUCAUUUUCCACAAUAUAAAGAGUGCUGCACGUGAGAUUUACUUGCUUUGUCAUUUGCCACUUUUUUUUCAAUUUUUUUAACAAUAAAUAUUGUUUAGUACACUAAGGAGUGAAAGAGUGAAAUGGAAAGAGUGAAACGGCAGCUUGUGAGUGCUGCAUGUGAGAUUUACUUGUGACGAAGAGCAUUUUUCUAAAAAGUUGUAGGGUGAUAAUAGUUAAGAAUUUUUUUUUUAUUGUAUGUUGCAAAAAGUUUUCUACAGUUGACAACAAGUAAGGAACAUUGUUAAAACCUUUUCAGAAACAUGCGUGUUUGUAAUUUUGUAUAUUGUCAAAAAUUACUUCAUUUAACAACAAUCUAUGCAAGUGUGUUGCAAAAGCUUUGUAUUAAUUGACAAGUAGCAGAAAAUCAUUAUUAUAUAUGUUUCAACAGCAUGUACUCUUGCACAUUGCUAAACGUAUUAAAAUAGAUAUUUAGCAACUUGCCUAUAUUGAAUGUUAUGUUUUCAUUAUUUAACAACAAUCAAUUAAUGCACGUUGUUAAAGUGUUGUUGUCUUAACCUUAUUUUCUUAUAGCGGUUGGUUGUGGUACUAAUAAUUUAAAUUUGUGGCUGCAGUUUGUUCAAUAAAUUGUUUGUUGAAUAAUAAUAAUAAUUUUUAAACUUAUUUACAAUUAUAGAUAUACUAAGAAUGAUCAUAUGAACAAAUAGUGACUUAAGGGUAGAUAAUAAUUACAGAGGCACGACAUUCAUCAUGGGCGUAGCUUUAGUUAUAAGAAUUAGAUACAAGGUUUAUUAAUUGAUUAUUAUUAGUCUAAAACUAAGAUUAAAAUUAAUGAAAAAGAGUUAAUUGGACUUUUAUUUAUUUACAUUCGUUAUUAGAAUUAGAGACAUGCAAAGUUAAGGUUUAAUCCAUUAAAUUUAUUUUUGGUUCAAAAGUUUAUUUAAAAUUAUUUUAAGUAUUUUAAAAAAUUAAAAUGGACCAACAGUAAAUUUUAAAGCCCAAAUUGCCGUAACCCAUUAAUGAAGAGAAGCCUUUGGAACAUGGAUGCAAACAAAAAGCCUAAUGAAAAUUAGGCUUAAAGUUAGAGUGAUGCUAUUAGCACCCCUUUAAUAUCCUAAUGAAACCUCUUCUUUGAAUUUACAAUUUUAUCCUUGUGUAGAAUUACAUGAAACCCCCAUACAAUUUCAUCUUAUCUUGUGCAAACAUUUUACACCUGCAACUACAGACUUCAUAAUACGACUCUUGGCACCCACAUGUAGAAUAUCCUUUUUUAUUUUUUAUUUUUCAGUCCAAUUCAAAAUGGUGGAAGAAGUGCAAAGAACUUAUUAUUGCAUAUGGGUCCCAAAUUCUAUUUUUAUUUAUUUUAAUAUUCAUAAUUUUGUUGUUACGUUUGUGAAGAACAAUUUCGGAUCAUUGUCUUGCUCUUUCAAAUACAACUCUCAUGGUUCUCAAAAUUCAUUAGUUUAUUGUUGAUGCAUCAUUUGUGCCAUUGUGAUAACUGUAAUAACUUGGUUUUUUUUUUCUUUCAAGCGUUUAUCUUCUUUUUAAACUCAUCAACUUUCUUCAUUAUUUUUCUUCAAUCUGCAAGUGAAAUCGUCUUGCUUUGACGAUAGCUCAGAGUUUUCUCUCAUGUCUCUAUUAUUAGCCUUCUUGCUUGUGAAUCCAAUCUUUGUUUUCUUUUUUAAAGCAAAUUCGAGAAAAUAAUUGCAAAACUCAGCUGUUUUUCUGCAAUUAACCAUCAUCUUCUCAAUUUCUAAAUUUAACAAGGUUAUUUACGGAAUAAGGGAGGUGUCAUUAGAAAAAAUUAUAUUCAUUUUAAUAUUUUGAAGGGUAUAAAAAGAAAAGGGGUGUUGACAGUACUUUUGAGGAGUGCCAAUAGCUUCACUCUUAAAGUUAACGUGUUUUCUUCCAAAAAAAUCAUGGAUUAAAAGUUGUUCAAUUAUAUGAUUAAUUGAUUGAAUAAAUAACAUACCAUUAAGGUUAACUUCACAUGUUCAUGCAUAUGCAUAAACUUUGAUAUUGAUAUUCUAAUGAGAUUAGAAUAGGAUAUUGAUAUCAUGUUUAUUAAUUUGACUUUACUAUUGACACAACCUAAUUAAUUAUUUUAUUUUAUAAAAUAAGAUAUUAACUGGUGGGAUUUCAAUUGAUCAGUUAAGAAAAUUAAAAGAAAACCUCUAACUUACAAAAAUUAAGUGGAAGAGGGCUUUAGGCAUGAAGCCCACAGCCUCCAUUAUGGGUCCAAUAGUAAGGUAGUUUGAUAUCUUGUCCCAAAUUAGAUGAGCUUCCUACAGGAGAUAUUAAUUAGAACUGGCUACUAAAUAGAACUUUCCUAAAGGAUAAAAUGUGCCGUAAGACUCAUUAAAACUGACUGUCUUGCGGUAGCUAUUUUAUUUGAGAAAUAUAAAAAAUUAAAAUAAUAAUUAUACACUCAAUUUAAGUUUGUUAAUAUCCUCCUUACGAAGUUCUUAUUGAUUAAGUGCAUGUUUGGUAUGACUUAUUUAAGAGGUAUAAGUGCUUAUUUAAUCUUAUAAGCACUUUUUAAAAAAUUUUAUGGUGUUUGGUUAUUUUUUUAAUAGAGUUUUUUUAGCUUAAAUAAACUAAUUUACCUCUACUAGUAAAAGCCCAAAAUUUGAGCUUUUGAGAGUAGAAAUUAGAGAACUUUUCCAAAAAAUAUAUAAUAUCUAAAAUAACCUUGACAUUUUUCAUUAAUUACAUAAUACCAUAUUUUGUAUAAAACAUACCCAACGAAAAUUGUUGCCGUCACUUCACUUUUUUUCUUUUAAAAAAUAGCCAUCAUUUUAAUUUUGCAAUCCCUACACAUACCCAACACUUGAGAGAACAAUCAUAAUCAUAGCCAACGUUUUUUGUGAGGAGCAUGCCAGGUAAUUUUGAUAGUUUUAUUUGUUUGGGAGAAUACAUCAAUGAUGCAAUUUUUAAUUUUGAAAAUUAAAGAAAUGAUUGAACUGAUUUUUUCUUAUUCAUUGAUAGCUUGGAUAAUGUAUUUUGUUACAUGUUAUAUAAUUAUGAAUACAUAUCUUUUUUGGUAAUUUAAUUACACAAAAGCACUUUUAGUUUUAUACAACCAAACAUUUUAAUGAUUUAAAAGAGCUUUUUUAAUUGACAACCAAACACCCAAUGACUUUUUGUCCAAAAGCUCUAUUGGUAUAAGCUCAACUCCUAUAAGCUCUACUAUUAUAAGCUCUAUUUAAUAAGUUGUACCAAACGGAGCCUAAACUUAAGAGGCUAAAUUAAUUGGGAUUUUAUUAUUAUUCGAUAUGAGAUAUUUAGAUGAUAAUAAUAAUUUCGUAAGUAGACUUAUCUAAUUAAUAUGAAAAAAAAACUUAUUUCCAAGUAGAUAUAGUUUAUCAACAUUAAUAGGCUUCAUACAUCUCUUACUCCUAUGGCUUUGUUCUCAAUUAUUUACUUCUGAAAAGAAUGAAAAUAUAAACUCAAUUAUUUAUAAAACUUAAACAUCAAUCAGAUUAUUACCCUAAAUUGUCAAUUUGCAACACCAAAUAACCAAAGUAAAUAGGAAAAAAAAUCAAUUGCUUAGAAUUUCCCUGCAAGAAAUUAAAUAAAUACCAUUUGCACCAAGAGCUACUGUCCCAACUUCAAGAACACAAAGGAAAAAGAAAGAGAGAGCAUAGAGCAUAUAUAUAUAUAAAGACAACUUUAAUUCAAUAACUUAUUCUACAACGAAAUUUGGUACAAUUUAAGGCUUCUCAAUGAUAUAAACUAAAGUGUUCCAAGUAAAAAGACCAACAAAAUGUCCUCUUUCUUAAUAAGUUGCCACCAUAUGCAUCAAUUAUUUGUAAAACUUAAACAUCAAUUACAUUAUUUAUCAAUAUAUCAAUUUGCAACAUCAAAGUAAAUGGGGGAAAAAAAUCAAUUACGUAGAAUUUCUGGCAGCAAGAAUGUUAAAUAAAUAGCAUUUACAUCAACAUCAAGAGCUACUGUCGCAUUCCACAACUUCGAAAACACAAAAGAAAAAGAAAAAGAAAAAGAGGGAGCAUAUGGUAAGACAACACCUGAAUUUAAUUAAUUAACUUAUUCUACAAUGAUAUUUGCUAGGCUUCAAGGAUUCCAAUGAUACAAACUAAGUGUUAAAUAGAGUGUCAAUAAUUAAAUGUGUAAAUCAAUGAAAGCCUGAGCAUCAAUGUCAUGAACAGGCAACAAGCCUUUGGAUUUUCUAAACGAGGUUGUCCCUACGAGCUAAAUAAAUUAAGAUUCAUCUUGUCAACUUACUCUCUUCUUGGCUCCUGGACAGGAAUGAUGGAAGUAAAUUCAUACAUUCAUGACAAUUUUCAUCCUUAUUGAGCAGCUCUUCCAAUAUGGAAACAGUAAUUUCAUCUGGCUUCACAUAUCUCUUCGCCAUUUUGUGAAGAAGUUCAAUUGCUUUUAAGCAUUCACGAAUCUGAGACAAACUAUGCAAAAGUGGAUUAAAUGUUAGCACAUUUGGAGCACAACCUUUCCUUCCAUAUCUGGUAACAAAUCAUAUGCUUUCUCUAUUCCUCCUUCUAUACAAAGUCCACAGAUCAUGACGGUAUAAGUUACAACAUUUGGCUCUGGGCCAUAUCUGGGCAAUUUCUUGAAUAGCUCCCAAGCACUACGAAGUCUCCAUGAUUUACACAAACCGUCAACAAGGCAAUUGAAGACGGUGAGGUCAAGUUCAAACUUGGUGUUAUGUAAAGUCCGAAACAAUUCCGCUGCCUCCAGAAUACAACUAUUCUUGCAGAGGCCAUCAAUAAAAUUUUUAUGAGUAUGAAUGAGGGGAAACAUCAUCAACUUUCAUUUCACCAAACAGUUUUCGUGCUUGUCCGACCUCACCAACUGAGAAAAGAUGAGUUAACUAGGUGUUAUAAGAAAUAACAUCUGGUCUAACUCCCAUAGAAAUCAUUUCUCCAUAAAGACUCAAAGCUUCCUCCACCUUCUCAAUUUUACUGUAACUGUUGAUCAAGGUAUUGUAGCUAGAAGUAUCUGGUAUACAUCCCUCACUUUCGAUGGAAACAAAUAACUUUCUUGCAUCAUCAAUUCUCCCCAUCAAACAAUAACCAUCGAUUAGAGAACUAUAUACAACCACAUCUGGGAUAAUUCCCCUGCUCUUCAUAUCCAAAAAUAAUUCUUUUGCCUUAUCUACUAACACAUCUUUACAGAGACUGUUAAUUAUACUGCAAUAAGAUAGAACAUCAGGAUGACAAAUAACACCCAAUUCACCAUUCCCAUUAACAAAUUCUUCAUGUAAUUCAAGUGCAGCACUCGUAUUGCCUGAUCGACACAACCCAUUAAUCAAAUUCCCAAAUAAAUCCACACUAGACUGUAAUCCUCAAUCCAGCAUCUCAAUAAACAAACCUUUGGCAUCCUCCCAAUUAACCGCACAGCAAUAAACACGAAUUAGAGAGUUAUAUACAAACGCAUCCGGGUAAAUUCCCCUACCCUUCAUAUCUAAAAACAGCACCCUCACUUUGUUUACAAACCCGUCUUUACAAAGACCGUCAAUAAUACUAGCAUAACAUAUUACAUUAGGCUGACAAACAUCACCACAUUCACCGUUAAUCAUUUCUUCAACUAACUUAAGAGCCACGAUACAAGUUGCUAGUUCGACACAACCCACGAAUCAGAGUUGCGCAUACAAUCACAUUAGGCCUACAAUCAAAAGCAACGAACUUCGUAAACAACCCAGACGCCUCUGUAACUUUACCCUGCAUGCACAAUCCUCUAAUCAAGCAACCCAAGGUCACAACGUCUGGGCUAAAAACCUUCCUCAAAAUCCUUCCAAGGGCCACAAAAGCAUCAGAAACCCCAAUCAUUUUGCAAAAGCAAUUCAUCAAAAUGUUCAAACUAACAAAAUCUGGCAACAAUCCAAUCGUAUUCAAUCUCUCGGAAAGACAAAUAAAAUUAACAUAAUACUUUUUCCCAGCUAGUGCACCCAAUAAAGAAUUAAACGACGGCAUAAAUGGAGUGGGCUGCAUAUGAAUCAUGUAAUUAAAGAAGCAUAGUGCAUCGUUGAGCUCAACCUCACCUGAUUUACAGUUCUCACUGAGAUAUUUAAGGAGUUUGGUUUUCUCUUCAACAGUUGAUACUGAGUUCGAAUGCAAAGAAGAGGGCUCAUUUUCAGAAUUUAAAGAUAUGGGCUUUU
Molecule: long non-coding RNA, 11237 nt
Filed under: Citrus maxima (pomelo)
Lineage: Eukaryota; Viridiplantae; Streptophyta; Magnoliopsida; Sapindales; Rutaceae
Description: long non-coding RNA (CMAX_LNC001438)
Source: RNAcentral